Long non-coding RNA from Nicotiana tabacum (common tobacco), 823 nucleotides. RefSeq lists it as uncharacterized. The record is from RefSeq and is a predicted model, not a curated record. Lineage: Eukaryota; Viridiplantae; Streptophyta; Magnoliopsida; Solanales; Solanaceae.
ACAUAUAACUGAGUUGAUGUAACAUAAGUGAAAGAUACAAUAGCAUGUAUCGGUGGUUCUCCAACAAGAUUGGUGGCUUUGCUCCCUAGAAACUGCAAAUGGGAAAAGCUCCACCUUUUAUACUUUUCAUUUACAUCUAGGAACUACUAUUGAUUAGAUAAAUAACCUCUGAUUGUGGCACUACUUGGAUCUAUCUUGAAAAUCCUGGAAGCAGAUGUUUACAUUAAAUAUGUGAUUAAGUGAAGUGAUUUUAUUAUUCUCUUAUAUUAGAAGUAGCAGUUGGGGUUUUUAACCUAUUUGUGUCAUCAACAUGUCUGGCUAUGACAUGCUUCUCUGGCGUUUCAACAGACCCCUAGGAAAAGAAAGAGUCAUCAAGUUGAUAACUUUUAUCAAAUAAUAUCUCACAGGAUAGUUAUUGCAACUUAGUUAGCUUGCACCGUCUCUGAAAGUCUCCUGCUACUUUCUCACUCCUUUGUUCUUAUCUUCGAAUCUCUGUGGAAAAUUGAAAUAAGGAAAACUCAGGCUGAAAUCACCUGGCGCUGGGUUCUUGGCUGCUACACCCGUGAACUGGCGAUAAGGUUGUCACUGGACCUUUUGCUUACCUCAACCUGCAAAACAAGGGAAUAAAGCACUUGUGGCUAUUACUGAAGGUUGCUCUCUGCAUCAUUUCAAUGUAAGUGGCUCCCACCAAAUUGGGGAUGCUAAAAUAAUAGCCAUAGCAACAGAAUGCCCUGAACUUAGUUUACUUGGAUGUGAGUGUUCUCCAAGUAUGUCCACUUAUACUUGUUCCAUAGAGUGGAAUAAAUAAUGGAUAUAAUGCAAA